GGGUUGUGAGGUUAAGCGACUAAGCGUACACGGUGGAUGCCCUGGCAGUCAGAGGCGAUGAAGGACGUGCUAAUCUGCGAAAAGCGUCGGUAAGGUGAUAUGAACCGUUAUAACCGGCGAUGUCCGAAUGGGGAAACCCAGUGCAAUUCGUUGCACUAUCGUUAACUGAAUACAUAGGUUAACGAGGCGAACCGGGGGAACUGAAACAUCUAAGUACCCCGAGGAAAAGAAAUCAACCGAGAUUCCCCCAGUAGCGGCGAGCGAACGGGGAGCAGCCCAGAGUCUGAAUCAGCUUGUGUGUUAGUGGAACGGUCUGGAAAGUCCGACGGUACAGGGUGAUAGUCCCGUACACCAAAAUGCACAGGUUGUGAACUCGAAGAGUAGGGCGGGACACGUGGUAUCCUGUCUGAAUAUGGGGGGACCAUCCUCCAAGGCUAAAUACUCCUGACUGACCGAUAGUGAACCAGUACCGUGAGGGAAAGGCGAAAAGAACCCCGGCGAGGGGAGUGAAAAAGAACCUGAAACCGUGUACGUACAAGCAGUGGGAGCACCUUCGGGUGUGACUGCGUACCUUUUGUAUAAUGGGUCAGCGACUUAUAUUCUGUAGCAAGGUUAACCGUAUAGGGGAGCCGCAGGGAAACCGAGUCUUAACUGGGCGUUAAGUUGCAGGGUAUAGACCCGAAACCCGGUGAUCUAGCCAUGGGCAGGUUGAAGGUUGGGUAACACUAACUGGAGGACCGAACCGACUAAUGUUGAAAAAUUAGCGGAUGACUUGUGGCUGGGGGUGAAAGGCCAAUCAAACCGGGAGAUAGCUGGUUCUCCCCGAAAGCUAUUUAGGUAGCGCCUCGUGAACUCAUCUUCGGGGGUAGAGCACUGUUUCGGCUAGGGGGUCAUCCCGACUUACCAACCCGAUGCAAACUACGAAUACCGAAGAAUGUUAUCACGGGAGACACACGGCGGGUGCUAACGUCCGUCGUGAAGAGGGAAACAACCCAGACCGCCAGCUAAGGUCCCAAAGUCAUGGUUAAGUGGGAAACGAUGUGGGAAGGCACAGACAGCCAGGAUGUUGGCUUAGAAGCAGCCAUCAUUUAAAGAAAGCGUAAUAGCUCACUGGUCGAGUCGGCCUGCGCGGAAGAUGUAACGGGGCUAAACCAUGCACCGAAGCUGCGGCAGCGACACUAUGUGUUGUUGGGUAGGGGAGCGUUCUGUAAGCCUGCGAAGGUGUGCUGUGAGGCAUGCUGGAGGUAUCAGAAGUGCGAAUGCUGACAUAAGUAACGAUAAAGCGGGUGAAAAGCCCGCUCGCCGGAAGACCAAGGGUUCCUGUCCAACGUUAAUCGGGGCAGGGUGAGUCGACCCCUAAGGCGAGGCCGAAAGGCGUAGUCGAUGGGAAACAGGUUAAUAUUCCUGUACUUGGUGUUACUGCGAAGGGGGGACGGAGAAGGCUAUGUUAGCCGGGCGACGGUUGUCCCGGUUUAAGCAUGUAGGCUGGUUGUCCAGGCAAAUCCGGAUAAUCAAGGCUGAGGUGUGAUGACGAGGCACUACGGUGCUGAAGUAACAAAUGCCCUGCUUCCAGGAAAAGCCUCUAAGCAUCAGGUAACAUCAAAUCGUACCCCAAACCGACACAGGUGGUCAGGUAGAGAAUACCAAGGCGCUUGAGAGAACUCGGGUGAAGGAACUAGGCAAAAUGGUGCCGUAACUUCGGGAGAAGGCACGCUGGUGUGUAGGUGAAGCCCCUGCGGGUGGAGCUGAGACCAGUCGAAGAUACCAGCUGGCUGCAACUGUUUAUUAAAAACACAGCACUGUGCAAACACGAAAGUGGACGUAUACGGUGUGACGCCUGCCCGGUGCCGGAAGGUUAAUUGAUGGGGUUAUCCGUAAGGAGAAGCUCUUGAUCGAAGCCCCGGUAAACGGCGGCCGUAACUAUAACGGUCCUAAGGUAGCGAAAUUCCUUGUCGGGUAAGUUCCGACCUGCACGAAUGGCGUAAUGAUGGCCAGGCUGUCUCCACCCGAGACUCAGUGAAAUUGAACUCGCUGUGAAGAUGCAGUGUACCCGCGGCAAGACGGAAAGACCCCGUGAACCUUUACUAUAGCUUGACACUGAACAUUGAGCCUUGAUGUGUAGGAUAGGUGGGAGGCUUUGAAGCGUGGACGCCAGUCUGCGUGGAGCCAACCUUGAAAUACCACCCUUUAAUGUUUGAUGUUCUAACGUUGGCCCCUGACCGGGGUUGCGGACAGUGUCUGGUGGGUAGUUUGACUGGGGCGGUCUCCUCCCAAAGCGUAACGGAGGAGCACGAAGGUUAGCUAAUCCUGGUCGGACAUCAGGAGGUUAGUGCAAUGGCAUAAGCUAGCUUGACUGCGAGCGUGACGGCGCGAGCAGGUGCGAAAGCAGGUCAUAGUGAUCCGGUGGUUCUGAAUGGAAGGGCCAUCGCUCAACGGAUAAAAGGUACUCCGGGGAUAACAGGCUGAUACCGCCCAAGAGUUCAUAUCGACGGCGGUGUUUGGCACCUCGAUGUCGGCUCAUCACAUCCUGGGGCUGAAGUAGGUCCCAAGGGUAUGGCUGUUCGCCAUUUAAAGUGGUACGCGAGCUGGGUUUAGAACGUCGUGAGACAGUUCGGUCCCUAUCUGCCGUGGGCGCUGGAGAAUUGAGGGGGGCUGCUCCUAGUACGAGAGGACCGGAGUGGACGCAUCACUGGUGUUCGGGUUGUCAUGCCAAUGGCACUGCCCGGUAGCUAAAUGCGGAAGAGAUAAGUGCUGAAAGCAUCUAAGCACGAAACUUGCCCCGAGAUGAGUUCUCCCUGAGACUUUAAGUCUCCUGAAGGAACGUUGAAGACGACGACGUUGAUAGGCCGGGUGUGUAAGCGCAGCGAUGCGUUGAGCUAACCGGUACUAAUGAACCGUGAGGCUUAACCUUACAACGCCGAAG
Molecule: ribosomal RNA, 2923 nt
Filed under: Klebsiella pneumoniae
Lineage: Bacteria; Pseudomonadati; Pseudomonadota; Gammaproteobacteria; Enterobacterales; Enterobacteriaceae
Description: bacterial LSU rRNA
Rfam family: Bacterial large subunit ribosomal RNA
Source: RNAcentral